UUCAUUUUAUUGAUCCUGCAGAGACUUGAGCUUUAACAACUUAACUGGUGGAAUACCAGAUUCCAUAAAAAAGCUGAAUUUAAGUAAGAUGUUUCUUACAGGAAAUAUGCUUAAUGGCACAGUACCUUCCUGGGUUCCUCAUACCAUUGAAGACAAGGCGGACUUGUCAUAUAAUAAUUUUGAAAUUUCACGUGAUGGUACGAAGAAAGGAGAAGGACAACUAAACAU
This is a long non-coding RNA of Populus nigra (black poplar), 228 nucleotides long. RefSeq lists it as uncharacterized. The record is from RefSeq and is a predicted model, not a curated record. Lineage: Eukaryota; Viridiplantae; Streptophyta; Magnoliopsida; Malpighiales; Salicaceae. The transcript is spliced from 3 exons.